Molecule: small nucleolar RNA, 132 nt
Organism: Acomys russatus (golden spiny mouse)
Lineage: Eukaryota; Metazoa; Chordata; Mammalia; Rodentia; Muridae
Product: small nucleolar RNA SNORA17
Exons: 1
Source: RefSeq, a predicted model, not a curated record
CCUACGCCUAGAGGUACUGCAGGUGUGGCUGCUGUGUCACCUGUGUGUCAGUAGGUGGCAGAGAGGAGAGAGUGUUCUUUGUCUAUGCUCAGUGUUCUGACCUGGGAACUCAGCCUAACAUUCCCUGAAAAA